CCUGGCGGCGAGUGGCGAACGGGUGAGUAAUAUAUCGGAACGUGCCCAUUAGUGGGGGAUAGCCCGGCGAAAGCCGGAUUAAUACCGCAUACGACCUGAGGGUGAAAGCGGGGGAUCGCAAGACCUCGCGCUAUUGGAGCGGCCGAUAUCAGAUUAGCUAGUUGGUGGGGUAAAAGCCUACCAAGGCAACGAUCUGUAGUUGGUCUGAGAGGACGACCAGCCACACUGGGACUGAGACACGGCCCAG
This 247-nucleotide ribosomal RNA is filed under the name uncultured bacterium. RNAcentral's name for it is "partial 16S ribosomal RNA". It matches the Rfam family "Bacterial small subunit ribosomal RNA", at positions 84 to 334 of the family's 1533-position model. The record is from RNAcentral.